UACGGGGGGAGCAAGCGUUGUUCGGAUUUACUGGGCGUAAAGGGCGCGUAGGCGGCGCAACAAGUCACUUGUGAAAUCUCCGGGCUUAACCCGGAGCGGCCAAGUGAUACUGUCGUGCUAGAGUGCGGAAGGGGCUACUGGAAUUCUCGGUGUAGCGGUGAAAUGCGUAGAUAUCGUUUGGAACGCCAAUGGUGAAAACAGGUUGCUGGGAGUGUGCUGACGCUGAGACACGAAAGCCAGGGGAGCGAACGGG
RNAcentral lists this ribosomal RNA (253 nucleotides) under uncultured bacterium. RNAcentral's name for it is "partial 16S ribosomal RNA". It matches the Rfam family "Bacterial small subunit ribosomal RNA", at positions 524 to 776 of the family's 1533-position model. The record is from RNAcentral.